CCUACGGGGGGCAGCAGUGGGGAAUAUUGGACAAUGGGGGCAACCCUGAUCCAGCCAUGCCGCGUGUGUGAAGAAGGCCCUCGGGUUGUAAAGCACUUUCAGUGAGGAAGAACGCCUGGUGGUUAAUACCCAUCAGGAAAGACAUCACUCACAGAAGAAGCACCGGCUAACUCCGUGCCAGCAGCCGCGGUAAUACGGAGGGUGCGAGCGUUAAUCGGAAUUACUGGGCGUAAAGCGCGCGUAGGUGGCUUGAUAAGCCGGUUGUGAAAGCCCCGGGCUCAACCUGGGAACGGCAUCCGGAACUGUCAAGCUAGAGUGCAGGAGAGGAGGGUAGAAUUCCCGGUGUAGCGGUGAAAUGCGUAGAGAUCGGGAGGAAUACCAGUGGCGAAGGCGGCCUUCUGGACUGAUACUGACGCUGAGGUACGAAAGCGUGGGUAGCAAACAGGAUUAGAUACCCUUGUAGUC
RNAcentral lists this ribosomal RNA (465 nucleotides) under Vreelandella stevensii. Its description in RNAcentral is "partial 16S ribosomal RNA". It matches the Rfam family "Bacterial small subunit ribosomal RNA", at positions 338 to 795 of the family's 1533-position model. The record is from RNAcentral. Lineage: Bacteria; Pseudomonadati; Pseudomonadota; Gammaproteobacteria; Oceanospirillales; Halomonadaceae.